AUUGCUUGUCUCCCCGAAAGAACAAAUGAAUGCAGCUAAAAUUAAAGUGACAAAGUCGCUGUGGGUUGUAAGCUGCUGUGUCGGAAGAAGACGGACUGAACCGGAGAAGUCUUGAAAUCGCCAGCCUGGCUUUCAACCCCACAAACUGGUUAAAAAAGGAAGGAACUGAGGACUCCGCUCUUUGUGCACCUGGAUUUUGGACUUCCUGAGCGAUAGACCCUAGAACGUCAGGAUGGGAGAGCACACCGCCUCCACCCUCAUUCUGAAUGUAGGCGUCACACAGGGGUGUGUCCUCAAUCCCUUUUAAUCACUUUUUACCCAUGACUGUUCUCCAAUUCAUACCAGUAACACCAUUAUAAAAUUUGCUGACAACACCACCAUCAUAGGACUGAUCGAGUACAAAGAUUCAGUCUACAGAGAGCAUCUGAAGUGAUGGUGUGACAACAACAACCUACAUCUGAACACAGCCAAGACCAAGGAGAUAGUAAUCGACUUAAGGAGAACAAGGCGAUCUGAGCUCUCCUCCCUCUACAUUGAUAGGGAGGAGGUAGAAAGGGUAGAAAGCUUUAUGUUCCUCAGUGUCCAUGUCUCAGCCGACCCUAGCUGGUCCAUAAACAUUUCCCACCAGGUAGGAAAAGCACAACAAAGGCUUUACUUUCUCAGGAAGUUGCAUCAGGCCCAAUUACCCCCAAAACUGCUAAUCAACUUCUACAGCUCCACCAUCAAGAGCCUUCUGAUCUACUGCUGUACACCCUGGUUCAACUGCUGUAGUGUGGAGCUCAAGAGAAAACUCCAGUGGGUAGUGAGGGUGGCAGAGUGGGCAACUGGCGCUUAACUCCCCUCAGAGACAUUUAUGCUGGCAGACUUCAGCGGAAUGCCAGUAUCAUCAUCAAGGACUCCUCGCACCCUGGGCACUCACUUUUUACCCCCCUUCCCUCUGGUAAACGCUACUGGUCGAUCAGGUCAAAGGCAGACUCAAUAAAAGUUUCUACCCACAGGCUGUCAAACAUGCCCUACCUCCACCCUGAUUGAAGGUUAACUGUGCUGUUAACAUUUAUGGACAUUUACACUGUAUUUAUAAACUAUAUUUAUUAUAGUGUAAUGCAACCAACAAUUCUACCUCUAAUUAUAUGACUGUAUUUAAUAUAGUAGCAACCAGCAUUCUUACCCAUUACUCAAUACCACCGAUCACAUUGCACCUAACUAUUUGGAUAUGGUUUUGCUCGCCAUGAAGCACCAACAAUGUUUUUUAGAUUUUUAGCUGGAAGGAAUUAAACAAAGCAUAUCUCAUAAACAUGGUAUGUAACCUAUAACAGAUCUUAUUGUAGUUAUACUGGAUAUUAGGUGUUUUGUUUCGGGGUUUUUUUUUUAAAUGAAAAGACCACAUGUUGCAGUACAUGUGAUAGGUCUCCACAUCAACUGAUACCACAGACUGCAGCACUUCAAUGUCUAGACCUCCACCAGGAAUGCACAGGCUUUCACGAGGUGUGAGGUGAGAUUGCAAAGGAGCAAAGUUAGACAGUUAUGAAAAGCUUUAAAAAAAAGAAGCAAACUAAAAUACACAUUGUGUGUGAUGUACAUUCUCUAAAUUCAUUAUUCUGAUUGGCUUCCUCUUCAUCCUCCUCUUUCUUGCUUUCACUCUUUCUUGCUGCUGUAGGUCCUGUUCUAAGAAUAAACAAGAAGCUUCAUCUUGAACUGAGUUCUCAGCAUUGAUUCAGCAGUGGCCUUGUUUUCCUGCUUAAUGGCUUCAAUCUUUGCCUGAUAACAGGUAGCCAGAUGCAUAAAUGUCUAUAUGUAGUAGUUUUUAUAUUUUUGGGCAUACAGAAGACAAAAAUGUAAGAAAGAGAGAACAGGAGAUUAUUUUCAAAUACUAGACUGGAAAUUUAAAGCUUAAAUGUACAAUGCCCCAAUACGUUUUAGAGUUCUUAAAUCAGGUAUUGAUGUGUUGCUGAAUUAUGUUUUUGUGAAAGAUCUUGCAAAGCAAACUGAAGUACACUAAUUUUAUGUCAUUUAGUGAUUCCAUGGAAAUACACAAAAAAGGAGAAAAAAGAUUCUUGGCUCUCAUAAAAACAAACCAAUUAUUUUGAGUCAAAUGCAACUGAAAUAGAUAAAAUCAUAGUUUUAUUUAUUAAACUAAUAACUGAUCUCAUCCUGAAAUAACAUAAAUACAGCAUAAAUUAAAGUUGGGAUCUGAGUUUAUGAUCUGUAAACAUCUACUGAAAUAGACUGUCACCAAACCAGAAAAACCUGCAGGGUUUUGGAAUCACAUGUUUGUUGUGCAGAUAUUGUGUCAGCUCCAGUUAGUCACACAAAUGCACAAAAUCCUGAAACCAUGAACAUAAACAUGCAUUAGGAAAUGUUGGUCUCUUGUUUUAUGUAUGGCAACUGCAUUGAAGCACAAGAUUUAGUUUUCAAGGUAUUGAAAGUAACAAAGACUGCAGACUGAUUACAGCUGUAAACACAAUUUGAGUAGACGUAAAGGAUAAUGUCCGACACAUGCUUGGUUUUCAGUUCACCUUUGCAAAGUAAAGGAUUAAGAGAACUGUAGGCAGUGGAAUAACCACUCUGAGGCAUAUGAGGGUCAGUCCACUUGUCAGGAUCUAAGGUAUUGUUUUCUAUCUAGCUUUCGCUGCAUAUUUUAUUAACUAACAUUAUGUAGUUCAUGGUGAUGUUUUAAUGAGUAGAAAAAUAUUUUUUAAAAAAGGGGGCUCAGAACAACUUUAUCCUCCCCAUUAUUUCUGGCAACAGUUUCAUUCAUAUGACCAAAAAACUUUAUGGCACAAAGGUUAGAAGGUGGAGGGCAAAUAAUACCAAGCCUGUCAUUUGUGAAUUGGUGUCCGUUUCCAUUUUUUGUACAGUGGUAUAACUAAUCUCAUUUAUUUUGGGGCUGUACCAGUUUGAAGAUGAAUCCUUUGUUGAGAAAUGUUCUUUUAAUACAUUCUGAUCAUAUUUCUGCAGAAAAAAAUGUCACUUUCAAAAAAUUCAGCCUUUCAGUAUAUGUCUCACUUUAUUUUAGUUAUUCAUUUCCCCUGUUAAUGUAUACGCAAACUGUAAUACACACAAUACAACAAAAUAACACAUGGAGUGCAUACUAUUAGCAGUGAUUUUUAUUUCUACCACUCAAAACAUUUUUAAUAAACAAAAAAUAUCCUUCUGCAACAGCAACAUACAUGCAUAUGACCCUGUAAGAUGUUAUAUAAUAUAUAUAUAUAUUUAUAUAUAUAUAUAUACACACUAAAACAAUUACAAUCUAUAAUAAAGGCACUCAAAAUGUAUUGCAAAGCGAAUGCUGGGGAAAUAUUUCUAUGAUUCUAUGAAGUGACGUCCAUCAUUUUGUUUGUCAAGUUAGAAAUCUGGUUCGAAGCUUUGCCCUUGUGCUGAGCUGAAGUUGAAUGUGUUCAUACUAAACUCAGUCAACAAAAGGUGGCCGUUUGAGAGGCGUUUAA
Molecule: long non-coding RNA, 3446 nt
Organism: Oreochromis niloticus (Nile tilapia)
Lineage: Eukaryota; Metazoa; Chordata; Actinopteri; Cichliformes; Cichlidae
Exons: 2
Source: RefSeq, a predicted model, not a curated record